CUCAGAAACUAGCUGCUGCCCCCCUGGAAGCACAGAGAGCCAUAUCUUAAGAACAAUCCUCCAGGCACAGGUUAACUAAAGGGCGCAAGAGGACACUGUGGCGGGAAAAAGCCACGAGAUAAACGGUCAGAAGAGCUGUUUUCCACCUCUCCCUCUGUCACCUGUCUGACAUUGCUGCUUCAGUUUCCUCCGGGUAAAGUGCUACUUGUACUCCCUACCUGAUGUGCUGAUAUGAGGUUCAGUGGUAUCUUGUGAAAAAUGCCAGGUCUCAAGCUUGUUGUCCCAGGGCUAUUCCAUUGCCUUGGCUUGUGGUGGAUCUCAAGGUGGUGUUGUGCUGUCAUCUCAGUCACAGUUGUCUACCAGUACCUGCAGAUUUGGACCCGGUGCAUUUCAAGCCACAGACAGAGCUUUCCCUCGGAUCUAGUGCUAGUCUAGUUUCACUUGCUCAUCAGAGGCCCGAGGGCAGAGGCUUCACACCUGACCCUUCAGACCAGAGUUCCAGAUGCAAAACAGCUGCUGUGGCUCCUGGGCUCCUGUGCUUCUGCGCAUGACACUCAAUGCAAGAUGGCGGCGGCGGGCCGGACAGAGAUGCUGCGUCCCACUCUGGGCUGGAGCCCCAGCAGCGCGCCUGCGCAUGACUCUGGCGAAGCCCCUCCCCUCCCCACCGAUCCUAUAAAGCAGCCCUGCCCACGGCUUGUGAGCAGCAUGUGUUCUAGAGCUGAGCUCCUGCCUCUUCAUUCUCUGGUCAAAAAAGAAAGCUUCCCUUGGCUGGACUUGGUCUACCUUGCUCAAAGGACCCCCGGCAGGAGGACCCUGUGACAGGGUCAGUUAUGAUAGGAUGCUUGUAAUGGGCUAGGCACCCUGCUAAAAGGACUGUGUGUAGACAGUUUCCAUGAUCCUCACCGCAGCUCCGUGGUUGUUGUAAGGUUGGUGCUCCCAUUUUCCACGUGAGAAAACUGAGAGUUAAGUGACCUGCCCCAUGUCACUCAGCAAGUGGAAGCGAAACUUUUGUACAGAAGGCUCUGGUAGAUGUGUGAAUGGACAGCAAAAUGCCAAAGGCAAGUGGCCAGAGGAAGAGCAGCAACCUGGACAUUUAGCCUCUGGAAAAAUGAAAAGUCACUGGAGUCUCCUUUCAUUUUUGAGAGCAGAAGCUGCCUGGCUUCUAAACUUCUGAGUGCCGAGCCUCAAAUGCCAGACUGGCAUUGUCAGGGAAUACGUGCUGCUGUUCCAUGGAAACCAUCUCCAUGAGUCAGAAAGAAAACGCCAAUCCUGUUGUCCUGAUACUAUGAUGUACAUUGCUAAUGUGACACCUGAUAUGCGUAAACUGGGCAAGAGUUGCUUCUCCAAGAGCUGCUGUGCAGAAUGCAGGGAGAGAUGGAGCCAUUUGGAAGUAGAACCCGUGUUUAGGGAAGGCAGUCACACCAUCUCAGAGUCCAUCUGUCCCCUCUCCCCAGGAGAGGACUUUGGCUUUGACUCAAGGGACCAGAUGAGACCCAUGCGUAGCUGGGAUUUCCUGCACCUCCUCCAGGAAGGCCUUACCAUAGUCCAAUGCUGCCUUACCUUGUGUUCAGUAGGUGAGUGGAUGCAGAACCAAGGGCUUACAAAAAGUGAGAUUGAACACAAAUUAGAACAAUCCCCUCUAACUCCCCAGACAUGACAGGGUGUCCAGAGCAGUCCAACCUCUCAGAGAGCACACAUGUUUAUCAGAUCUGCUGAGCCAUUUGAUACUUGGGUGUUUUUCUUCCAAUACCUUUCUUUAAGAGCUGGCUUACCUCCAAGGUUUGGGGAAGAUAAGAUUCUGAAUUAAUUCCUAAAGUUUCUGGUUAGAUAGAGACUGCCCUUCAAUCCAGGUUCUUCCUCUUUGUUCUUUGAUCUGAAUCCCAGGAGAGUCUUGAGUGUUUCUCCUGCUGCUGCUUUGUCUGAAUUUUGCCAGUCAGCUCUGUAGGUUGGUUUCCAGGGGUUGGUGUAGAGGGGAAGUGCCCCCUUUGUCUUGCUCUCUUUUUGGACCAGACUUUCUGUCCUUGAAGGAACACAACCCUCAAGGCUAAUGUGCUCCCCCUGAGGUAGGUAUUUCCCCACAUAAGUGGACUGAGCAACAAGCCUAGGAUUUAAACAAGCUCCAGGGUUGGCAUCUGUCAUCAUUUCCUUGUGACUCUCAUUUCCUCCACCCUUAGUCAUCCUUACUCAGGCUCUCAUUAUCUCCCACUGAGACCAAGGUAGUGGCCUCUUAACUGGUGACUUGGCUCCAAAGCCAACUCAGGCUACUCUACAUCUUGCUUCUCGGGAGCUGAAAACCUGACCAUGUCACCAAAGGCCGGAAGCUUUCUUUUGGUUCCCCAUCGCCUAUAGAAUAAAAGUUCAACUCUGUUGCAGCAUUUUGAGAUCUCCCUACUUUUUUAGUAGCUCUUCCUACUUCCUUACUUUUCCUUAUUCUUCAACCAUGGUUACUGAGAAGCAUGUUGUUCCUUAAGCAGAUUGUGUCACACACCCAUGCCUGAAAUUCCUGGUUUGCUUCACUAAUAACUAAUCAUUUUCAAGUUGACAGGUCAAGGGUUGUAUUAAGGAUUGAAUUGUGUCCCUCCCCUAAAAAGAUGAAGUCCUAACCCUGAGUCCCUGUGAAUGUGACCUUACUUGGAAAUACAGUUUUUGUAGAUGAUCAAGUUAAGAUGGGGUCACUAGAGUGAGCCUUAACCCGAAACAACUGGUGUCCUUAUAAAAAGGGUACAUUUGGAGGUAUAUAGACUUGUAGAGAGGAAAGACAACAUGAAGACCCAGGGAGAACAUCACAUACAAGCCUAGGAAUGACUGAGGCUGCCAGAAGCAAGGAGAGAGGCAUGGAACUGAUUCUCCUUCACAGCCCUCAGAAGCAACCAAGGCUUCUGACACUUUGAUCUUGGAUUUCUAGCCUCCAGAACUGUGAGAAAGUAAAUCCUUUCUUUUUUUUUAAUUGAAGUGUAGUUGAUUUAUAAUAUAUAUCAUGUUUCAGGAGUAAAACACAGUGGUUUAGUUAUACAGAUAUAUUCUUUUUCAAAUUCUUUUCCAUUAUAAGUUAUUAUAAAAUAGAGUAUAGUUUUCUAUCCUGCAGAGUAGGUCUUUGUUGGUUAUCUAUUUUAUAUAUAUCCCAAACUCCUAAUUUGCAUUUCCUCCCACCAGUGUUUUCCCUUUGGUAAUCAUAAGUUUGUUUUCUAUGUCUAUGAAUCUUUUUCCGUUUUGGACAUAAGUUCAUUUGCAUCUUUUUUUUUUUAAGAUUUCACAUAUAAGUGAUAUCAUAUGAUGUUUGUCUUUCUCUGACUUACUUCACUUAGUGUGAUAAUCCCUAGGUCUAUGCUGCAAGUGACAUUUCAUUCUUUUAUGGCUGAGUAAUAUUCCAUUUCAUUCCUUUAUGGCUGAGUAAUAUACCAUAUCUUCUUUAUUCAUUCAUCUGUUGAUGGACAUUUAGGUCGCUCCCAUGUCUUGGGUAUUGUAAAUAGUGCUUUGAAUAUUGGGGUGCAUCUAUCUUUUCAAAUUAGAGUUUUUGUCUUUCCAGAUCUAUACCUAGGAGUGAUAUUGCUGGAUCAUGUGGUAGGUCUAUUUUUACUUUUUUUAGGUGCUUCCAUACCGUUCUCCACAGUGGUUGUACCAGUUUACAUUCCCACCAACAGUGAAGGAGGGUUCUUUUUUUCCAUACCCUCUACAGCAUUUAAUGACAUUUUAUUGAUGACUGUUCUGACUGGUAUAAAGUGGGUAACUCGUAGUUUUGAUUUGCAUUUCUCUGAUAAUUAGCGAUGUUUAUAAAGCAUUUUUCAUGUAUUUUUUUGCCAUCUGCAUAUCUUCUUUGGAGAAAUGUCUACUUAGGUCUCCUGCCCAUUUUUUGAUUGGGUUUUAUGUUUUUUGGAUAUUGAGCUGCAUGAAGUGUUUGUGUAUUUUGGAAAUUAAUCUCUUGUUGGUUGCAUCAUUUGCAAAUAUUUUCUCCCACUCUGUAGGUUGUCUUUUCAUUUCAUUUAUGGUUUCCUUCUCUGUGCAAAAGCUUUUAAGUCUAAUUGGGCCCCAUUUGUUUAUGUUUGCUUUUAUUUCCAUUACUCUAGAAGAUGGAUGCUAAUAUAGUGCUACAAUUUAUGUCAAAGAGUGUUCCACCUUUGUUUUUCUCUAGUUCUUUUAAAGUGAUCUUACAUUUAGGUCUUUAAUGCACUUUGAGUUUAUUUUUAUAUAUGGUGUUAAAGAAUAUUCUAAUUUUGUCCUUUUACAUGUAGUUGCCCAGUUUUCCUAGCACUACUUUUUGAAGAGACUGUCUUUUCUCCAUUGUAUAUUUGCCUCCUUUGUCAUAGGUUAGCUGUCCUUGGGUGUGUGGGUUUAUUUCUGGACUUUCUAUCCUGUUUGAUAGAUCUGUAUUUCUGUUUUUGUGCAGAUCUGUAUUUCUGGUUUUUUGUGUGGUAUAAUGCUGUUUUGAUGAUAGUAGCAUUGUAAUAUAGCCCAAAGUCAGGGAGCCUGAUUUUUCCAGCUCCAUUUUGAUACUUGGGGUCUUUUGUGUUUCCAUACAAAUUAAAAUUUUUUUUUGUUCUAGUUCUGGUCAAAAAUGCCAUUAGUAGUUUGAUAGAGAUUGUAUGGAAUCUGUAGAUUGCCUUGGGUAGUAUAAACAUUUUGACAAUAUUGAUUCUUCCCAUCCAAGAACACAGUAUAUCUUUACAUCUGUCCACUUUCACCACUUUUAUUCAACAUAGUUUUGGAAGUCCUAGCUAUAGCAAUCAGAGAAGAGAAAGAAAUAAAAAGUCCAAAUUGGAAAAGAAGUAAAACUACUAUACUGUAUAUAGAAAAUCCUAAAGAUACUACCAGAAAACUACUGGAGCUCAUCACUGAAUUUGGUAAAGUUACAGGAUACAAAAUUAGUACACAGACUGGAGUUCCUGUUGUGGCCCAGCAGGUUAAGAAUCUGACAUAGGCUCCAUGAGGAUGUGUGUUUGAUCCCUGGCCUCACUCAGUGGGUUAAUGAUCCAGUGUUGCCACAAGCUAUGGUGUAGUUCCCAGAUGUGGCUGGGAUCAGGCGUGGCUAUGGUGUAGGCUGGCAGCUGCUGCUCUGAUUCACCCCUAGCCCAGGAACUUUCAUAUGCUGCAGGUGCAGCCCUAAAUAGAAAAAAUGAAAAAAAAA
Molecule: long non-coding RNA, 5122 nt
Filed under: Sus scrofa (pig)
Lineage: Eukaryota; Metazoa; Chordata; Mammalia; Artiodactyla; Suidae
Description: lncRNA (ENSSSCG00050072483.1)
Source: RNAcentral